UAACGCGUGGAUAACCUGCCUCACACUGGGGGAUAACAGUUAGAAAUGACUGCUAAUACCGCAUAAGCGCACAGUACCGCAUGGUACGGUGUGAAAAACUCCGGUGGUGUGAGAUGGAUCCGCGUCUGAUUAGCCAGUUGGCGGGGUAACGGCCCACCAAAGCGACGAUCAGUAGCCGGUCUGAGAGGAUGAACGGCCACACUGGAACUGAGACACGGUCCAG
RNAcentral lists this ribosomal RNA (223 nucleotides) under uncultured bacterium. RNAcentral describes it as "partial 16S ribosomal RNA". It matches the Rfam family "Bacterial small subunit ribosomal RNA", at positions 111 to 334 of the family's 1533-position model. The record is from RNAcentral.